AUUGAACGCUAGCGGGAUGCCUUACACAUGCAAGUCGAACGGAGUGGCGAACGGGUGCGUAAUGUAUCGGAACGUUCCCAGUAGCGGGGGAUAACUACGCGAAAGCGUAGCUAAUACCGCAUACUAUUGGAGCGGCAGCAAUCGGAUUAGCGAGUUGGGGGGGGAACGGCUCACCAAGGCGAUGGUACUAAGCUGGUUUGAGAGGACGACCAGCCACAUUGGAACUGAGAGACGGCCAAGCCUCCUACGGGAGUCAGCGGUGGGGAAUUUUGGAAAAUGGGGGAAACCCGGAUCCCGCCAUCCCGCGUGGGCGAUGCGGGCCUUCGGGUUGUAAAGCACUUUUGUCAGGAAAGCGGUACCUGAAGAAUAAGCACCGGCUAACUACGUGCCAGCAGCCGCGGUAAUUC
RNAcentral lists this ribosomal RNA (407 nucleotides) under uncultured bacterium. Its description in RNAcentral is "partial 16S ribosomal RNA". It matches the Rfam family "Bacterial small subunit ribosomal RNA", at positions 30 to 526 of the family's 1533-position model. The record is from RNAcentral.